GAGUUAGUAACUUAACUGGUAAAGAACUUUCUUGUCGAGAAAGUAGAUGUCGGAUCGUAGCCGACCUGACUCG
RNAcentral lists this transfer RNA (73 nucleotides) under Zasmidium cellare. Its description in RNAcentral is "tRNA-Asp". The record is from RNAcentral. Lineage: Eukaryota; Fungi; Ascomycota; Dothideomycetes; Mycosphaerellales; Mycosphaerellaceae.